This 395-nucleotide ribosomal RNA is filed under the name uncultured bacterium. Its description in RNAcentral is "partial 16S ribosomal RNA". It matches the Rfam family "Bacterial small subunit ribosomal RNA", at positions 523 to 918 of the family's 1533-position model. The record is from RNAcentral.
AUACGUAGGGGGCAAGCGUUGUCCGGAAUUACUGGGCGUAAAGCGCACGCAGGCUGACUUAUAAGUCGGUAGUCUAAUGCGGAGGCUCAACUUCCGUUUAUCUAUCGAUACUGUAAGACUAGAGUAUGUGAGAGGGAAGUGGAAUUCCCGGUGUAGCGGUGAAAUGCGUAGAUAUCGGGAGGAAUACCAGUGGCGAAGGCGACUUCCUGGCACAAUACUGACGCGCAUGUGCGAAAGCUAGGGUAGCGAACGGGAUUAGAUACCCCGGUAGUCCUAGCCGUAAACGAUGGAUACUAGGUGUGGGUGUCGCAGGGCAUCCGUGCCGCAGCUAACGCGUUAAGUAUCCCGCCUGGGGACUACGGUCGCAAGACUGAAACUCAAAUGAAUUGACGGGG